UUUCUGAGAAUGCUUCUGUCCAGUUUUUACAUGAAGCUGUUUCCUUUACUACCGUAGGCCUCAAAGCGUUCCAAACCUCCACUUGCAGAUACUACGAAAAGAGCGUUUCAACCUGAACUCACAAGGGAAGGUUCAACUCUGUCAGUUGAAUGCCAACAUCACCAAGAAGUUCUGAGAAUGUUCCUCUUCAGUUAUGUGAGGUUUAUCCCGUUUCCCACGAAAUUCUCAGAGAAGUCCCUAAAUCCACUUGCAUAUUCCACAAAAGGUGUGUUUGGAAAAUGCGCCAUCAAAAGAUAUGCUCAGCUCUGUGAGUUAAACUCAAUCAUCGCAAAGAAUUUUCUGAGAAUGCUUCCGUCUUGUUUUUAGAGGAAGUUCUUUCCUUUACUACGACAGGCCUCAAAGAGGUCCAAAUCUCCACUGGCAGAUUCUGCAGAAGGAGUGUUUCAAACCUGAACUGUCAGAGAAAGGUUCAACACUGUGAGUUGAAUGCAAGCAUCACGAAGAAGGUUCUGAGAAUGCUUCUGUUUACGUAGGUGACUUUUCUCCCGUAUCCAGCGAAAUCCUCAGAGCGGUCCAAAUCUCCACUUGCAGAUUCUACACAAAGUGUGUUUGGAAACUGCUCCACCCAAAGGAAUGUUCAGCUCUGUGAGUUGAACUCAAUCGUCACAAAGCGUUUCCUGGGAAUGCUCCUGUCUCGCUUUUAUGUGCAGUUAUAUCCUCUACUGCCAUAGGCCUCAAAGCGGUCGAUAUCUCCCCUUUCAGAUUCUACCAAAAGUGUGUUUCCAAACGGCCCCAUCAAAGGGGAUGUUCAACUCGGUGACUUGAAUGCAAUCAUCACAAAGCAGCUUCUGAGAAUGCUUCCAUGUAGCUUUGAUGAGAAGAUAUUUCCUUUUCCACCCCAGGCCUCGAAGCCCUCCAAAUGUCCCCUUGCAGAUGCUAGAAAGAGGGGGUUUCAAAGCUGCUCUAUCAAAAGGAAAGUACAACUCUGCGAGUUGAAUGCAAACAUCACAAGGAAGUUCCUGAGCAUGCUUCCGUUUAGCUUUUACGGGAAGAUUAUCCCUUUUCCAUCGAAAUGUUCAAAGAGGUCCACAUAUCCGCUUGCAGAUUCCACCGAAAGAGUGUUUCCAAACUGCUGCAUCAAAAGGAAUCCUCAGCUCCGUGAGUUGAAUGCAAUCAUCACCAAGAAGUUUCUGACAAUGCUUCUCACUAGUUUUUAUGUGAAGAUAUUUCCUUUUCCACCGCAGGCCUGAAAGCGCCCCAAAUGUCCACUUGGAGGCUCUACGAAAAGAACGUUUUAAAACUGCUCUAUGAAAAGCAAUGUUAUACUCUGGGAGUUGAACACAAGCCUCACAAAGGAGUUUCUGAGAAUGCUUCUGUUUACUUUUUACGUGAGGAUAUUCCCGUUUCCAAAGAAGUUUUCACAGAGUUCCACCUAUCCAUUUGCAGAUGCCAGCAAAACUAGAGAGUUUCAAAACUGCUCUAUCAAAAGGAAUGUUCAACUCUGUGAGAUGCAUGCAAUCAUCACAGAGAAGUUUCUGAGAAUGCUUCUGUCUACAUUUUAUGUGAAGAUAUAGCCGUUUCGAACGAAGGCCACAAAGUGCUCCAAAUAUCCACUUGCAGGUCCUCCAAAAAGAGUGUUUCAAACGUGAACUACCAAAGGAAGGCUCAACUCGGGACUUUGAAGGCCAACGUCAGAAGGAUGUUUCUGCGGAAGCUUCUGUUUAGUUAGGUGACGUUAUCCCGUUUCCAACGAAAUCCUCAGAGAGGUCCAAAUAUCCACCUGCAGAGUCUACAAAAAGUGUGUUUCAAAACUGCUCCACCCAAAGGAAGGUUCAGCUCUGUGAGUUGAACUCAAUCAUCCCAAAGUAUUUUCUGAGAAGGCUUCUGUCCAGUUUUUACAUGAAGCUGUUUCCUUUACUACCGUAGGCCUCAAAGCGUUCCAAACCUCCACUUGCAGAUACUACGAAAAGAGCGUUUCAACCUGAACUCACAAGGGAAGGUUCAACUCUGUCAGUUGAAUGCCAACAUCACAAAGAAGUUCUGAGAAUGUUCCUCUUCAGUUAUGUGAGGUUUAUCCCGUUUCCAACGAAAUUCUCAGAGAAGUCCCAAAAUCCACUUGCAUAUUCUACAAAAGGUGUGUCUUGAAAAUGCGCCAUCAAAAGAUAUGCUCAGCUCUGUGAGUUAAACUCAAUCAUCGCAAAGAAUUGUCUGAGAAUGCUUCUGUCUUGUUUUCAGAUGAAGUUCUUUCCUUUACUACGAUAGGCCUCAAAGAGGUCCAAAUCUCCACUUGCAGAUUCUGCAGAAGGAGUGUUUCAAACCUGAACUGUCAGAGAAAGGUUCAACACUGUGAAUUGAAUGCAAGCAUCACGAAGAAGGUUCUGAGAAUGCCUCUGUUUACGUACGUGAGUUUUCUCCCGUAUCCAGGGAAAUCCUCAGAGCGGUCCAAAUCUCCACUUGCAGAUUCUACACAAAGUGUGUUUGGAAACUGCUCCAACCAAAGGAAUGUUCAGCUCUGUGAGUUGAACUCAAUCGUCACAAAGUGUUUCCUGGGAAUGCUCCUGUUUCGCUUUUAUGUGCAGUUAUAUCCUCUGCUGCCAUAGGCCUCAAAGCGGUCCAAAUAUCCCCUUUCAGAUUCUACCAGAAGUGUGUUUCCAAACGGCUCCAUCAAAGGGAAUGUUCAACUCGGUGACUUGAAAGCAAUCAUCACAAAGCAGCUUCUGAGAAUGCUUCCAUGUAGCUUUGAUGAGAAGAUAUUUCCUUUUCCACCCCAGGCCUCGAAGCCCUCCAAAUGUCCCCUUGCAGAUGCUAGAAAGAGGGGGUUUCAAAGCUGCUCUAUCAGAAGGAAAGUACAACUCUGUGAGUUGAAUGCAAACAUCACAAGGAAGUUCCUGAGCAUGCUUCCGUUUAGCUUUUAGGGGAAGAUUAUCCCUUUUCCAUCGAAAUGGUCAAAGAGGUCCACAUAUCCGCUUGCAGAUUCCACCGAAAGAGUGUUUCCAAACUGCUGCAUCCAAAGGAAUCCUCAGCUCCGUGAGUUGAAUGCAAUCAUCACCAAGAAGUUUCUGACAAUGCUUCUCUCUAGUUUUUAUGUGAAGAUAUUUCCUUUUCCAACGCAGGCCUGAAAGUGACCCAAAUGUCCACUUGGAGGCUCUACGAAAAGAAUGUUUCAAAACUGCUCUAUGAAAAGCAAUGUUAUACUCUGGGAGUUGAACACAAGCCUCACAAAGGAGUUUCUGAGAAUGCUUCUGUUUACUUUUUACGUGAGGAUAUUCCCGUUUCCAAAGAAGUCUUCACAGAGUUCCACCUAUCCAUUUGCAGAUGCCAGCAAAACUAGAGAGUUUCAAAACUGCUCUAUCAAAAGGAAUGUUCAACUCUGUGAGUUGCAUGCAAUCAUCACAGAGAAGUUUCUGAGAAGGCUUCUGUCUAGAUUUUAUGUGAAGAUAUAGCCGUUUCGAACGAAGGCCACAAAGUGCUCCAAAUAUCCACUUGCAGGUCCUCCAAAAAGAGUGUUUCAAACGUGAACUACCAAAGGAAGGCUCAACUCGGGACUUUGAAGGCCAACGUCAGAAGGAUGUUUAUGCGGAAGCUAUUGUUUAGUUAGGUGACGUUAUCCUGUUUCCAACGAAAUCCUCAGAGAGGUCCAAAUAUCCACCUGCAGAUUCUCCAAAAAGUGUGUUUCCAAACUGCUCCACCCAAAGGAAUGUUCAGCUCUGUGAGUUAAACUCAAUCAACACAAAGUAUUUUCUGAGAAUGCUUCUGUCCAGUUUUUACAUGAAGCUGUUUCCUUUACUACCGUAGGCCUCAAAGCGUUCCAAACCUCCACUUGCAGAUACUACGAAAAGAGCGUUUCAACCUGAACUCACAAGGGAAGGUUCAACUCUGUCAGUUGAAUGCCAACAUCACCAAGAAGUUCUGAGAAUGUUCCUCUUCAGUUAUGUGAGGUUUAUCCCGUUUCCAACGAAAUUCUCAGAGAAGUCCCAAAAUCCACUUGCAUAUUCCACAAAGGUGUGUUUUGAAAAUGCGCCUUCAAAAGAUAUGCUCAGCUCUGUGAGUUAAACUCAAUCGUCGCAAAGAAUUUUCUGAGAAUGCUUCCGUCUUGUUUUUAGAUGAAGUUCUUUCCUUUACUACGAUAGGCCUCAAGGAGGUCCAAAUCUCCACUUGCAGAUUCUGCAGAAGGAGUGUUUCAAACCUGAACUGUCAGAGAAAGUUUCAACACUGUGAGUUGAAUGCAAGCAUCACGAAGAAGGUUCUGAGAAUGCUUCUGUUUACGUAGGUGACUUUUCUCCCGUAUCCAACGAAAUCCUCAGAGCAGUCCAAAUCUCCACUUGCAGAUUCUACACAAAGUGAGUUUGGAAACUGCUCCACCCAAAGGAAUGUUCAGCUCUGUGAGUUGAACUGAAUCGUCACAAAGCGUUUCCUGGGAAUGCUCCUGUCUCGCUUUCAUGUGCAGUUAUAUCAUCUACUGCCAUAGGCCUCAAAGCGGUCCAAAUCUCCCCUUUCAGUUUCUACCAAAAGUGUGUUUCAAAACGGCCCCAUCAAAGGGGAUGUUCAACUCGGUGACUUGAAUGCAAUCAUCACAAAGCAGCUUCUGAGAAUGCUUCCAUGUAGCUUUGAUGAGAAGAUAUUUCCUUUUCCAACCCAGGCCUCGAAGCCCUCCAAAUGUCCCCUUGCAGAUGCUAGAAAGAGGGGGUU
RNAcentral lists this long non-coding RNA (4689 nucleotides) under Homo sapiens (human). Its description in RNAcentral is "HSALNT0295124". Lineage: Eukaryota; Metazoa; Chordata; Mammalia; Primates; Hominidae. The record is from RNAcentral.